RNAcentral lists this ribosomal RNA (467 nucleotides) under uncultured bacterium. RNAcentral describes it as "partial 16S ribosomal RNA". It matches the Rfam family "Bacterial small subunit ribosomal RNA", at positions 28 to 507 of the family's 1533-position model. The record is from RNAcentral.
GAUGAACGCUGACAGCAUGCUUAACACAUGCAAGUCGACUUGAAUUUGGGUUUUUAUCUUAGGUUUGGGUGGCGGACGGGUGAGUAACGCGUAAAGAACUUGCCUCACAGCUAGGGACAACAUUUGGAAACGAAUGCUAAUACCUAAUAUUAUGAUAAUAGGGCAUCCUAUAAUUAUGAAAGCUAUAAGCGCUGUGAGAGGGCUUUGCGUCCCAUUAGCUAGUUGGAGAGGUAACGGCUCACCAAGGCGAUGAUGGGUAGCCGGCCUGGGAGGGUGAUCGGCCACAAGGGGACUGGGACACGGCCCUUACUCCUACGGGAGGCAGCAGUGGGGAAUAGUGGACGAUGGACCGAGAGUCUGAUCCAGCAAUUCUGUGUGCACGAUGAAGUUUUUCGGAAUGUAAAGUGCUUUCAGUUGGGAAGAAACAAAUGACGGUACCAACAGAAGAAGUGACGGCUAAAUACGUG